Molecule: unclassified non-coding RNA, 250 nt
Filed under: Hevea brasiliensis (rubber tree)
Lineage: Eukaryota; Viridiplantae; Streptophyta; Magnoliopsida; Malpighiales; Euphorbiaceae
Source: RNAcentral
UUUCACCCUUAUCAAGGAAUAUCAGCCAAAGGUUAAUCCUGAGGUCAAGGAAUUCUCUUUCAAUGUAACUUCUGAUAGGCUAGUUCUUACCUUCACUCCUUUUGCCAAUUCAAUUGCUUUUAUAAAUGCACUGGAAGUUUUUUCUCUUCCUGAUGAGCUUAUUCCUCCGGGUGCCACCACCAUUGGUCCCCAGGGCAAAUACCAAAAUCUGGGGAAACAAGCAUUAGAAACAGUUGAGAGGUUGAAUAUG